CGGACGGGUGAGUAACGCGUGGAGAACCUGCCGUAUACUGGGGGAUAACACUUAGAAAUAGGUGCUAAUACCGCAUAAGCGCACAGCUUCGCAUGAAGCAGUAGUGAAAAACUCCGGUGGUAUACGAUGGAUCCGCGUCUGAUUAGCUUGUUGGCGGGGUAAAGGCCCACCAAGGCGACGAUCAGUAGCCGGCCUGAGAGGGUGAACGGCCACAUUGGGACUGAGACACGGCCCAAACUCCUACGGGAGGCAGCAG
RNAcentral lists this ribosomal RNA (256 nucleotides) under uncultured bacterium. RNAcentral describes it as "partial 16S ribosomal RNA". It matches the Rfam family "Bacterial small subunit ribosomal RNA", at positions 99 to 354 of the family's 1533-position model. The record is from RNAcentral.